GACCUCGAGCUAUAUCGUGUGGUCACGUUCAUAGAAACUUAUAUGCGGAGACAAAAAUUCACCGUUCGUUCGGUAAGCCCGCACCCAUGGGACGACCGGCAUAUUUGGAGGUGCGCUUUUCCGAUCAGGCUUGAUCCCGGGUCAGAUUUAGGUUCAGAAAAUAUUAAAUUUUAUAUAAAUUUUAUAUAAAAUUUGAUUAAAAAUAAAUAAAAUUUAGAUCCGAAGUCCAACCAUCGGCUAGCUCUAUUUUCUAACCUAUUUUCAUAUAAAUUUUUGAGAAAACUAUGAUUACCAUCGUGGCACCACUGAUUAGGAAAUUUUUGGAUUGCCUGAAAUAGGCCUGGCAAGCCGGACGGGCAGCUAGACCGGAAAUUUUAUUUAUUUAUUUAUUUAUUUAUUUUUUAUAAAUAUUAAU
RNAcentral lists this long non-coding RNA (415 nucleotides) under Elaeis guineensis (African oil palm). RNAcentral's name for it is "long non-coding RNA (EGUI_LNC005417)". The record is from RNAcentral. Lineage: Eukaryota; Viridiplantae; Streptophyta; Magnoliopsida; Arecales; Arecaceae.